Molecule: ribosomal RNA, 253 nt
Filed under: uncultured Acidobacteriota bacterium
Lineage: Bacteria; Pseudomonadati; Acidobacteriota
Also listed under: 1 other name
Description: uncultured Acidobacteria bacterium partial 16S ribosomal RNA
Rfam family: Bacterial small subunit ribosomal RNA
Source: RNAcentral
UACGUAGGCAGCAAGCGUUGUUCGGAGUUACUGGGCGUAAAGAGUGCGUAGGCGGUGCCCUAAGUCUGUUGUGAAAUCUCCUGGCUCAACUGGGAGGGUGCGGUGGAAACUGGGGUGCUUGAGAGUGGGAGAGGUUAGCGGAAUUCCUGGUGUAGCGGUGAAAUGCGUAGAUAUCAGGAGGAACACCGGUGGUGUAGACGGCUGACUGGACCACGACUGACGCUGAGGCACGAAAGCGUGGGUAGCAAACAGG